This 429-nucleotide ribosomal RNA is filed under the name Gemmatimonadota bacterium. RNAcentral describes it as "Gemmatimonadetes bacterium partial 16S ribosomal RNA". It matches the Rfam family "Bacterial small subunit ribosomal RNA", at positions 355 to 776 of the family's 1533-position model. Lineage: Bacteria; Pseudomonadati; Gemmatimonadota. The record is from RNAcentral.
UAGGGAAUCUUCGGCAAUGGACGAAAGUCUGACCGAGCAACGCCGCGUGAGUGAAGAAGGUUUUCGGAUCGUAAAACUCUGUUGUUAGAGAAGAACAAGGACGUUAGUAACUGAACGUCCCCUGACGGUAUCUAACCAGAAAGCCACGGCUAACUACGUGCCAGCAGCCGCGGUAAUACGUAGGUGGCAAGCGUUGUCCGGAUUUAUUGGGCGUAAAGCGAGCGCAGGCGGUUUCUUAAGUCUGAUGUGAAAGCCCCCGGCUCAACCGGGGAGGGUCAUUGGAAACUGGGAGGCUUGAGUGCAGAAGAGGGGAGUGGAAUUCCAUGUGUAGCGGUGAAAUGCGUAGAUAUAUGGAGGAACACCAGUGGCGAAGGCGGCUCUCUGGUCUGUAACUGACGCUGAGGCUCGAAAGCGUGGGGAGCAAACAGG